CCUACGGGGGGCAGCAGUGAGGAAUAUUGGUCAAUGGCCGAGAGGCUGAACCAGCCAAGUCGCGUGAGGGAAGACGGCCCUACGGGUUGUAAACCUCUUUUGUCGGGGAGCAAAGCGAACCACGUGUGGUUCAUUGAGAGUACCCGAAGAAAAAGCAUCGGCUAACUCCGUGCCAGCAGCCGCGGUAAUACGGAGGAUGCGAGCGUUAUCCGGAUUUAUUGGGUUUAAAGGGUGCGCAGGCGGAGGUGCAAGUCAGCGGUCAAAUUGCGGGGCUCAACCCCGUACUGCCGUUGAAACUGCAUCCCUUGAGUACAGUUGAGGUAGGCGGAAUUCGUGGUGUAGCGGUGAAAUGCUUAGAUAUCACGAAGAACUCCGAUUGCGAAGGCAGCUUACUAAACUGCCACUGACAUUGAUGCUCGAAAGUGUGGGUAUCAAACAGGAUUAGAUACCCGGGUAGUC
RNAcentral lists this ribosomal RNA (459 nucleotides) under uncultured bacterium. RNAcentral's name for it is "partial 16S ribosomal RNA". It matches the Rfam family "Bacterial small subunit ribosomal RNA", at positions 338 to 795 of the family's 1533-position model. The record is from RNAcentral.